RNAcentral lists this long non-coding RNA (981 nucleotides) under Equus caballus (horse). RNAcentral's name for it is "lncRNA (ENSECAG00000048342.1)". Lineage: Eukaryota; Metazoa; Chordata; Mammalia; Perissodactyla; Equidae. The record is from RNAcentral.
CAUUAGCCCCCAUGCGUGAGAGGGCAAGUGAAGGAAACAGCAGCAUCAGAGCCCAGUGAGGGCUGAGAGUGGAAAGAAGAGCUGCCUGGCCAUAGUGUGGUCCUGGGAGGAUGCAAAUGCUGCCCAAGACACAAUGCCAAUGCAGGAAGGAGGGAGCAAGGAAGAAAUAGCUAGAACUCCUUCCUCUUGCUCACAGAUUUCCUGCCAGUGCCUCACAUUGGCCAAACCCAACUGGUAGCUAGCCAUCAAGGGAGCUCAGGUAAUAGAGUUCUCAUGGGACAGCCUCCUGGGACGAAUAAUGGUCAGAGAGAAUAACCGGUACACCCCAAACACUGGGGAUCUCUCACCUCCACAUCCCCUGAUGAAGAUCUUUAGAGAAGCUGAAUCUAGCUGUCCAGCCCGAGGGGAACCCUCCAGGGCCAGCCCAGGAGUGAACACAGCCUGUGUUUCCACUUACAAGCAUGCUCUCUUGGGGCUAUUCUGAGUGUGGAGUGAAGACACCUAGCAACCCUCUUCUAUUAUGUUGAUUCAACCAAGACAGGCUCUGCAGGAGCAAGGUCGCCUUACCUGGACUGCCACGUGUUAGUAAGGAACCCUCUUCUGAAGACUCAGAGAGCACAGGCCUAUUGUGAUGUGUGGUUAAACCUCGCUGAUCAGUUCCUAGGUACCUCUGUCUACGCAGCCUCUUUGUAAGUCUCUUUCUGGAGAAGCAUCUCUUCCUAAACGAAGGAUUAAUUACUGACCUACUUGUGACUUUGUCACCACUCACCUGUGACCACCAACCUACCGUGUUCACCAAUCUGCUGUGCCAGCAAAGCAAUCUCAUCACUAUUGUUAAAGGGACAUUCCUGUCAUAUGUGAUGUAUGCUCGUUGUUCGAAGACAGUAUGUAACCACUUUGUACACCCGACUUCUUUGGUGCCCUUCCUUCCUUGGGAAAGGUGCCAGGCUAAUUCUCAAUCUGGCUCAUAAUAAACUCACC